Molecule: long non-coding RNA, 894 nt
Organism: Esox lucius (northern pike)
Lineage: Eukaryota; Metazoa; Chordata; Actinopteri; Esociformes; Esocidae
Source: Ensembl
GCUGGAAGUCAGGUCCUCUCUGUAGUAGUUUAUAAGGUACGGUCAUGAUGGUAUCAAUACUAGAGUAAAUACGGUAAAGGGAGGGGCCAUUGGACCUUCCAGGGUUUGGCUGUUUGAGGGGGUACAGAGUUGGAAUAAACGGACUCACCUUGGCUCUGUGUCUGCGUGUGUUAUUAUAUCUCCACAAAUACUACACUCUUCUAAAUGCUGUGGUGGAUUGCAGAUCAGGAACAGGUGCGAGAGUGGAUAAUGACUGUCAGGUGGGGAACACCCCGCCCCCGCCUCGUUGCCCGGACAACCAGAACACAACACCAGGACAGACAUGGAACAGACGCACCGGGCAAACAUACCAACAAACAACGACGGAAACAACAUGUACAUUGAACAAACAAGAGUCACGGGGAAGGGGGCGUGACAAACAGUGGCAUGUGUGGGAAUCUGACAGUCGUUGGUACAGUAGCUGACUUUCAGUAAGUAGUUCAAACAAAGGUUGGACCUUCUGUUCAAGUCAAUGACAAAUAAAUGACAUCUGUAAUCUUUUAAAAUACAGUGUCAUAUUGGAUUAGUACAGCAGGCUAGAGUCAACUUGUAUUUUAAUACUUCAAAUGUAAAGCUUUUUCCCCCCAAUUUCAAAUGUAGAUGUCAACCAUUGAAAACACUCCCAAAAUAAUGACAAUGUCUUACCUGUGCAAGCUGUUUUUCCAUCAUCAGCUUGCUGAUCUCCUUCUGCAUUGUUUUUAUACUGCAAUCUCUCUGGGUGAGGGUAGUUGUAUAAGCCUCCUCUGCCCUGGACCAGAUUUUCUUCUCCUCUUUCUUCAGCUGAUAUGACAGCAAUGGAACAUGCUGACCCUUAACCAUUCCUCAGCAAGUAAUACUUAUUCUAACUGCCUGGAC